GACGAACGCUGGCGGCGUGCUUAACACAUGCAAGUCGAACGAAGAGCGAUGGAAGCUUGCUUCUAUCAAUCUUAGUGGCGAACGGGUGAGUAACGCGUAAUCAACCUGCCCUUCAGAGGGGGACAACAGUUGGAAACGACUGCUAAUACCGCAUACGAUCUAAUCUCGGCAUCGAGGAUAGAUGAAAGGUGGCCUCUACAUGUAAGCUAUCACUGAAGGAGGGGAUUGCGUCUGAUUAGCUAGUUGGAGGGGUAACGGCCCACCAAGGCGAUGAUCAGUAGCCGGUCUGAGAGGAUGAACGGCCACAUUGGGACUGAGACACGGCCCAGACUCCUACGGGAGGCAGCAGUGGGGAACCUUCCGCAAUGGACGAAAGUCUGACGGAGCAACGCCGCGUGAGUGAUGACGGCCUUCGGGUUGUAAAGCUCUGUUAAUCGGGACGAAAGGCCUUCUUGCGAAUAGUGAGAAGGAUUGACGGUACCGGAAUAGAAAGCCACGGCUAACUACGUG
This 510-nucleotide ribosomal RNA is filed under the name uncultured bacterium. Its description in RNAcentral is "partial 16S ribosomal RNA". It matches the Rfam family "Bacterial small subunit ribosomal RNA", at positions 28 to 507 of the family's 1533-position model. The record is from RNAcentral.